This 254-nucleotide ribosomal RNA is filed under the name uncultured Pseudomonas sp. RNAcentral's name for it is "partial 16S ribosomal RNA". It matches the Rfam family "Bacterial small subunit ribosomal RNA", at positions 99 to 355 of the family's 1533-position model. Lineage: Bacteria; Pseudomonadati; Pseudomonadota; Gammaproteobacteria; Pseudomonadales; Pseudomonadaceae. The record is from RNAcentral.
CGGACGGGUGAGUAAUGCCUAGGAAUCUGCCUGGUAGUGGGGGACAACGUUUCGAAAGGAACGCUAAUGCCGCAUACGUCCUACGGGAGAAAGCAGGGGACCUUCGGGCCUUGCGCUAUCAGAUGAGCCUAGGUCGGAUUAGCUAGUUGGUGAGGUAAUGGCUCACCAAGGCGACGAUCCGUAACUGGUCUGAGAGGAUGAUCAGUCACACUGGAACUGAGACACGGUCCAGACUCCUACGGGAGGCAGCAGUC